AAGGAUCAUUAACACAAACUGUGGCUGCGAAUGUGCACGUCGCCCUCUUCACUGAGGGACCCACGAUUGCUGCUGUCGCGUCACACUUGGAUCCACAUCCAUUUACCCCUGUGAACUGUUAAAGUCUUUACAUAACGUGUCAACUCACGCCUUGUAAUGCACUCUGACUGAAAUCUAUUUCUUGACGCUGUAAGACCUUGCAAAAGUCUUUAACGCCGACGGAAAAAAACAUAACCAAAGACAACUUUUAACAACGGAUAUCUUGGUUCUC
This 271-nucleotide unclassified non-coding RNA is filed under the name uncultured fungus. Its description in RNAcentral is "partial contains 18S rRNA, ITS1, 5.8S rRNA, ITS2 and 28S rRNA". Lineage: Eukaryota; Fungi. The record is from RNAcentral.